AGUGAAGAGGUGAAGUAGAAAAUGGAAUCGGAAUAGGAGGCAUAUCUUCAACUAGUUUGAUGCAUGUUGGAAGAGAGACGACAGUAUCUGGUGUUGUUAGUGAACAUGGACCAUGAAGUGGAGUCUGAUCACUCAUUACCACAUCAACAGGUCCUGAAAGGGAGUACGUACCCCACUACGCUGAGAUCCA
Triticum urartu is the source of this 190-nucleotide non-coding RNA. NCBI's taxonomy places the organism in Eukaryota, Viridiplantae, Streptophyta, Magnoliopsida, Poales, Poaceae. The record is from RefSeq and is a predicted model, not a curated record.